UACGGGGGGGGCAAGCGUUGUUCGGAAUUACUGGGCGUAAAGGGUCUGUAGGUGGCUUGCUAAGUCAGACGUGAAAUCCCUCGGCUUAACCGGGGAACUGCGUCUGAUACUGGCGAGCUUGAGUGCAGGAGAGGAACGCGGAAUUCCAGGUGUAGCGGUGAAAUGCGUAGAUACCUGGAGGAACACCGGUGGCGAAGGCGGCGUUCUGGACUGCAACUGACACUGAGAGACGAAAGCCAGGGGAGCAAACGGG
Molecule: ribosomal RNA, 253 nt
Filed under: uncultured bacterium
Lineage: Bacteria
Description: partial 16S ribosomal RNA
Rfam family: Bacterial small subunit ribosomal RNA
Source: RNAcentral